AGGUAUAGUUCACAUGUGAUUCAGUCUCUCUAUCAUGAGUUCUGACUAGAUAGUAGGUCAUGGAUUAAUCAUCAAAUCUUAUCAUCAGUCAUAUGAUAGAUUUGAUCAUCUCAAGUCUAAUUCUGAUCCUUGUAAAAACUAUUUUCUAUUAACCACACUGCUGUGGUCAAGACUCUCGAACUUAUCCUCUCCAAUCUCAUAGGACUAUUCUUCUCUAUCAAGAUAGAUAGAUUUCAUCUUGAUGCGCAUCCUACUUCUAUAGUGGACUAACUAUCGUCAACCUUCACUACCAGGGCUCAUUGAGAUCAUAUUUAUGUGUCAGUCAAACUCCAACAGCCUCACAGCAAGCAGUCAUAGCAUUGCAGGUCAAAAGACCAUUUAAAUAACUACAGCAUCGAGAUAAUCACUGAUGAUCGAGUAAAAAUUUAAGUAAUCUCUCGUAUGGUCAUACUUAGUACUAGUUGUUCGCU
RNAcentral lists this long non-coding RNA (470 nucleotides) under Elaeis guineensis (African oil palm). RNAcentral describes it as "long non-coding RNA (EGUI_LNC056545)". The record is from RNAcentral. Lineage: Eukaryota; Viridiplantae; Streptophyta; Magnoliopsida; Arecales; Arecaceae.